Molecule: ribosomal RNA, 563 nt
Filed under: Cyprinella lutrensis (red shiner)
Lineage: Eukaryota; Metazoa; Chordata; Actinopteri; Cypriniformes; Leuciscidae
Description: partial 16S ribosomal RNA
Rfam family: Bacterial large subunit ribosomal RNA
Source: RNAcentral
UACCAAAAACAUCGCCUCCUGCAACAUAGAGUAUAGGAGGUCCAGCCUGCCCAGUGACUACGGGUUCAACGGCCGCGGUAUAUUGACCGUGCAAAGGUAGCGCAAUCACUUGUCUUUUAAAUAAAGACCUGUAUGAAUGGCUAGACGAGGGCUUAACUGUCUCCCCCCUCCAGUCAGUGAAAUUGAUCUAUCCGUGCAGAANNGGGUAUAAUUCUACAAGACGAGAAGACCCUUUGGAGCUUAAGGUACAAAGUUCAAUCACGUCAAGCAACUUGAUGAAAAGCCAGAACUUAGUGACUAUGAAACUUUCUUCGGUUGGGGCGACCACGGAGGAAAAGCAAGCCUCCGAGUGGACUGGGCCAAAACCCUAAAGCCAAUAGGAACAUCUUUAAGCCGCAGAACAUCUGACCAAUAAUGAUNNCCAAGAGGCCGAUCAACGAACCAAGUUACCCUAGGGAUAACAGCGCAAUCCUCUCCCAGAGCCCAUAUCGACGAGGGGGUUUACGACCUCGAUGUUGGAUCAGGACAUCCUGGUGGUGCAGCCGCUAUUAAGGGUUCGUNUG